This is an RNA transcript of Drosophila guanche, 2706 nucleotides long. It is a transcript of the gene named T-complex protein 1 subunit beta, with no coding region annotated. NCBI's taxonomy places the organism in Eukaryota, Metazoa, Arthropoda, Insecta, Diptera, Drosophilidae. The record is from RefSeq and is a predicted model, not a curated record. The transcript has 6 exons.
UAUCAAGAAAAAUAAUAUGCAUACAUCGAUAUAUUGAUGUAUCAAUAUAUAUCUAGCAUCCCUAGCAUUCCGCCAUUUUCCUUUGUUGCGCCCGUGUGGUAUUCGUAAAUUCUGUGAUCAAAACUUAUUAAUUACACAUAGAAAAUGGAGAUGUCUCUAAAUCCCGUGCGCGUGCUCAAGAAUGAGGCGCAGGAGGAGAAGGCCGAAAUGGCUCGUCUCUCCUCGUUCAUUGGCGCCAUUGCCAUCGGUGAUCUGGUGAAGAGCACACUGGGACCCAAGGGAAUGGACAAAAUCCUAGUUGCCAAUGGCCGCAAUGCAGGCCAGGUGGAGGUCACCAAUGAUGGUGCCACCAUAUUGCGUGCCGUGGGCGUUGACAAUCCAGCAGCAAAGAUUCUGGUUGACAUGUCGCGUGUGCAAGACGAAGAGGUUGGCGAUGGCACCACCUCGGUCACUGUGCUGGCCGCCGAGCUGUUGCGCGAGGCCGAGAAGCUGGUCGAACAGAAGCUCCAUCCACAGAUAAUAGUCUCCGGCUGGCGCAUGGCCACCCAAGUGGCGCUCGAAGCGCUGACUGCCGUUGCCCAGGACAACUCUGCCAACGAUGAGACAUUCAAGGCAGAUCUACUUAACAUUGCACGCACCACGCUGUCCUCCAAGAUCCUGCACCAGCACAAGGAGUUCUUUGCGAAUCUCGCCGUUGAUGCUGUCCUACGUCUGAAGGGCUCCGGCGAGCUCAAGUCCAUACAGAUCAUAAAGAAGUCUGGUGGCACAUUGGGUGAUUCGUUCCUGGAUGAUGGUUUCCUGCUGGACAAGAAGCCAGGUGUUCAUCAGCCACAGCGUAUUAAGAAUGCAAAAAUUCUCAUUGCCAAUACGCCCAUGGACACGGACAAGAUCAAGGUAUUUGGCAGCAGCAUUAAGGUCGAUUCAUUGGCCAAAAUCGCCGAUCUGGAGAUGGCCGAAAAGGAGAAGAUGAAGGAGAAAGUCAACAAGAUUCUCAAUCACAAAUGCAAUGUGUUCAUCAAUCGUCAGCUGAUCUACAAUUACCCGGAACAGCUUUUUGCCGAUGCCAAGGUGAUGGCCAUCGAGCAUGCCGACUUUGAUGGCAUCGAGCGUCUGGCAUACUGCACUGGCGGUGAGAUUGCCUCCACCUUUGAGAACCCAUCGCUGGUGAAGCUGGGCGAGUGCGAUUUGAUCGAACAGGUCAUGAUCGGUGAAGAUACACUGUUGCGUUUCAGUGGCGUUAAGCUGGGUGAGGCCUGCACGAUCGUCAUUCGCGGUGCCACCCAACAGAUUCUGGAUGAGGCCGAUCGUUCGCUGCACGAUGCCCUCUGUGUAUUGGCUGCCACAGUCAAGGAGUCGCGCAUCAUUUAUGGUGGUGGCUGCUCAGAGGCUCUCAUGGCCAAUGCUGUGUUCAAGAAGGCCGCCCUCACCUCCGGCAAGGAAGCCAUUGCCAUUGAGGCUUUUGGACGUGCUCUGCUGUCGCUGCCCACAGCCAUUGCCGAUAAUGCUGGCUACGAUUCCGCUCAGCUGGUCUCCGAGCUGCGGGCUGGUCAUGCCCAGGGCAAGAACCAGCUAGGUCUGGACAUGGACGAGGGCAAGGUGGCCAAUGUACGCGAAUUGGGCAUCACCGAGUCGUAUGCCGUCAAGCGACAGGUACUCAUGUCUGCCUCGGAGGCUGCCGAAAUGAUACUGCGUGUGGACAACAUCAUCAAGUGUGCGCCUCGCCGUCGUGUGCCCGAUCGUGGCUACUGCUAGACUAGACUCAUUAAGUAUUCUCUUGUUCUAGGAUCAUGUUUUUUUUUGUAAAACAACCCCCCGCCCCAUACCCCCCAUACAACCUCGUUUAACAUUUUCACGUGUCUUUUGUUUGUUUAUAAACAAUACAAAUAACCCCACUACCCCUACCUCCUCUCGCUAAACACUUUUUGAUUCAUUUAAACGCACUGCUCUCACACAUUAAAUGAUUGUCAAACAACAAAAGAAACAAGAUAAAGCCCAGCUUUGGUAAACAGCAGACUCUGGCUGCCACAGAAGCAUCGUAGGACGAACAAAAUUAAAGCAUUUCAAAAAUGUUCAGCUAACUAAACUACACAACAACAAAACAAACACCAAACAACUUGCAAAUGAAUACAAUUAUUGUAAACAUUAUUGAUAUGUGCAGCGAGGCGAAAGAGAGUCGAACACUAACACACACACACACACACAUACAUACUGUGGUUGUCACACAUUUAUUGUAAAUUAAGUUAACAUAUGUACAAUAACAUCUAGAUUUCAGAUUGGCGCCCAGCGCUGCCAGACUGGGGAUUUUUUCUCCAGCCACCAGUCAGCGCUCAAGCUUAAAACGGGCCCCAUUUUCGUAUUUGUUUUUCUAAUUUAUUUAUAUACUGUACCGCAUUGAUUUCUUGUCAGAAUUGUUUGUCCAUUGUUUUGUCCAAUUUAUUGUGCAUUUUGUAUCCGUGUGUUAUUAGUGUCUUUAUUUUUGUUUGUGUGUGUAAAAGACAACUUUGAGUUUUAAUUUGUAAGACAAUAAAAGUCAAAACCUUAUAAAUAGCCCCCAAAAAAACUAACGUAAAUUGGCAAACUAAACAGAAUUUGUAUUAAACAAUAACAAAACCAUAUGUGAAUUUGUGUAGCAAAAAAGGCAUUUAAAGGGAGAAGUUGAGCAUUUUUAACGAUUUAAAAAUGGAAAAGAAAUGAAAUGAAAAGAAA